UAGAAUUCAACAUUCCAGUUUUUCCAAAACUGAAACACUAGCUCCAACCAGGAGUUUAACUUACAACAUUCAAGUUUUGCCAAAAUACAUGAGUUUCAACCCUGCGGUUUAAGUCACAACAUGCUAUCUUAAAAUAAAACUAAAAAUGUAACUCAGUCGGUGGGGAACUAUUUAACGCAAGAUCCUCGCGAAAAGUCUCGCUCCACCUUGUCCGACGAACUUGCAAAACAAUCGGUACAAUAAGCCGUCGAGAGCAAACUAUAUCGACUGGAUAAUAAGGCACCAAUGAUAACAAAAUAACUGAAUAGUACCACACGUAUGUGAAAAUAUGUGUAUGAUUUGGCUAUCAUCCGACUAACUAUAUCCAACAGAUAUCAUUUAUGAAUCAUACGUAUAGCUGCAAGCAACGGUAUGAUUCCCACCAAAGUAACUAUGUCCAAGUAAGUGUACGUCAACUGAAUCUUCAUGUACAGUAGGAUAACAGUGAUAAUAAAGUAACCGACCGUUUCUAGUGCAAGUGGCAAAAGAUUUGGUGGUUGGUACCCGAGAUCCCAAAUUCGAAUCUUAAUUGAUUCACAUUUUCAGGUAAGUUUAUUUCUAAAUGAAAUAAACGAAGCGGAUAGCAUGUCACCUAUUUCUCAAAAAAAAACCCAACGAUAAUAAAGUAGCUGGAAGGCACAACAAGCAUGCAUAAAAAAUUAGGGAUGAAUUGAAGUCAGUUGUGCUUCAUCAAAGUGAAUUGGUCACAUCCAUGCCUGGGGUAAGAAAUUGUAUUGGACUUAUAUGUAUAUAAAGAAGUAACAUAAUUGGUAAAAUGAUAUGUAUGAAAAUGCAAUUUAUUUUAAAUAAAUUGAUACUAUGAUACUAGAACUCAACAUAAGUGGAACACACAAAUCUAUGUUGAGAUAACAAUAACACUCUCUAUGGACAUUGGAGAAUGAACUGACAUGUAUACGAAAUCUAGUGCCAUUUAAUAUAGGUUGGAAAGAUAUAGUGGGUAGGAUAUCACUUGGAUGGGCAGGAUACUACUUGGGCCUGAUAAUAUAAAAUCUAGAAAGAUUGACAAUGAAUGGUGAAAUCAUGUGUACCUUUGCCUCGACCAAGAAAGCGGCGAUCUCGCUACCCAAAGACUUGAGAAAGCGGCGAUUCCGCCACCCAAUGCCGAGAUAGUGGUGAUUCUGCUAAGUAUGAACUUAUGGCCGGAGGCGAAAGUGGCAAUUCCGCUAUCCAAUGCCAAGAUGAAAAGUGACAAUUCUGCUAUGAAUUGACCCACGACAGGAGUCGAGUAACAUAUGGUUAAUUAGGAUAAUGAAAUUAGUGGAUAAAUAAUAACUUCUGUCAUUUCAUAAAUUUUCAUUAUUGCAUAAACUGAGCAUGAGCAAGAUUAUUUUAUUUUGGAAUAUAGUACUUAUUCAUGUGCUUUAGUUAUCCAAAC
This 1435-nucleotide long non-coding RNA is filed under the name Ananas comosus (pineapple). RNAcentral describes it as "long non-coding RNA (ACOM_LNC026957)". Lineage: Eukaryota; Viridiplantae; Streptophyta; Magnoliopsida; Poales; Bromeliaceae. The record is from RNAcentral.